RNAcentral lists this ribosomal RNA (253 nucleotides) under uncultured bacterium. RNAcentral's name for it is "partial 16S ribosomal RNA". It matches the Rfam family "Bacterial small subunit ribosomal RNA", at positions 524 to 776 of the family's 1533-position model. The record is from RNAcentral.
UACGUAGGUGGCAAGCGUUAUCCGGAAUUAUUGGGCGUAAAGCGCGCGCAGGCGGUUUCUUAAGUCUGAUGUGAAAGCCCACGGCUCAACCGUGGAGGGUCAUUGGAAACUGGGGAACUUGAGUGCAGAAGAGAAAAGCGGAAUUCCACGUGUAGCGGUGAAAUGCGUAGAGAUGUGGAGGAACACCAGUGGCGAAGGCAGCCCCCUGGGCUGAGAUUGACGCUCAGGCACGAAAGCGUGGGGAGCAAACAGG